This 373-nucleotide ribosomal RNA is filed under the name Spondylurus lineolatus. RNAcentral describes it as "partial 12S ribosomal RNA". It matches the Rfam family "Bacterial small subunit ribosomal RNA", at positions 795 to 1372 of the family's 1533-position model. Lineage: Eukaryota; Metazoa; Chordata; Lepidosauria; Squamata; Scincidae. The record is from RNAcentral.
CUUAGCCCUUAACAUAGACAAUAAAAACACAAUAUUGUCCGCCAGAGAACUACAAGUGAAAAACUAGAAACUCCAAGGACUUGGCGGUGCCCCACAUCACCCUAGAGGAGCCUGUCCUAUAAUCGAUAAUCCACGCUGUACCUCACCAUUUCUAGCAAUUCAGCCUAUAUACCGCCGUCGAAAGCCUACCUUAUGAAAGAAAGAGAGUAAGCAAAAUAGUCAACAACUAACACGUCAGGUCAAGGUGUAGCAAAUGAAAUGGAAGAGAUGGGGUACAUUUUCUAUAUCAGAAAACACGAACAGCACAAUGAAAUUUGCACUAAAAGGCGGAUUUAGCAGUAAGACAAAAAAGAAACUUUGCCUUAAACCCGCU